CCUACGGGCGGCAGCAGUUAGGAAUAUUGGUCAAUGGGCGCGAGCCUGAACCAGCCAAGUAGCGUGAAGGAUGACUGCCCUACGGGUUGUACACUUCUUUUAUCAAGGAAUAAAGUGAGGCACGUGUGCCUUUUUGUAUGUACUUUAUCAAUAAGGAUCGGCUAACUCCGUGCCAGCAGCCGCGGUAAUCCGGAGGAUCCUAGCGUUAUCCGGAUUUAUUGGGGUUAAAGGGAGCGUAGAUGGGGUGUUAAGUCAGUUGUGAAAGUUUGCGGCUCAACCGUAAAAUUGCAAUUGAUACUGGCAGUCUUGAGUACAGUUGAGGUAGGUGGAAUUCGUGGUGUAGCGGUGAAAUGCUUAGAUAUCACGAAGAACUCCGAUUGCGAAGGCAGCUUACUAAACUGCCACUGACAUUGAUGCUCGAAAGUGUGGGUAUCAAACAGGAAUAGAUACCCCAGUAGUC
RNAcentral lists this ribosomal RNA (460 nucleotides) under uncultured bacterium. RNAcentral's name for it is "partial 16S ribosomal RNA". It matches the Rfam family "Bacterial small subunit ribosomal RNA", at positions 338 to 795 of the family's 1533-position model. The record is from RNAcentral.